AGGGAAUAUUGCGCAAUGGGGGGAACCCUGACGCAGCAACGCCACGUGUGGGAAGAAGCAUUUCGGUGUGUAAACCACUGUCGGAAAGGAAUAACGGAAGACUUCGGUCUUUAUGAAUGUACUUUUAGAGGAAGCACCGGCAAACUUCGUGCCAGCAGCCGCGGUAAUACGAGGGGUGCAAGCGUUGUUCGGAAUCACUGGGCGUAAAGGGAGCGUAGGCGGAAGUGCAAGCAAUCUGUAUAAUCCUGGGGCCCAACCCCAGUUCUGCAGAUUGGACUGUAUUUCUUGAAUAGUUCAGAGGCAAGCGGAAUUUCUGGUGUAGCGGUGGAAUGCGUAGAGAUCAGAAAGAACACCAAUGGCGAAGGCAGCUUGCUGGGGACUUAUUGACGCUGAGGCUCGAAAGUGUGGGUAGCAAAC
This 417-nucleotide ribosomal RNA is filed under the name uncultured bacterium. Its description in RNAcentral is "bacterial SSU rRNA". It matches the Rfam family "Bacterial small subunit ribosomal RNA", at positions 356 to 773 of the family's 1533-position model. The record is from RNAcentral.